This 429-nucleotide ribosomal RNA is filed under the name Bacillota bacterium. RNAcentral describes it as "Firmicutes bacterium partial 16S ribosomal RNA". It matches the Rfam family "Bacterial small subunit ribosomal RNA", at positions 355 to 776 of the family's 1533-position model. The record is from RNAcentral. Lineage: Bacteria; Bacillati; Bacillota.
UGGGGAAUUUUGGACAAUGGGCGCAAGCCUGAUCCAGCCAUGCCGCGUGCAGGAUGAAGGCCUUCGGGUUGUAAACUGCUUUUGUACGGAACGAAAAGGCUUUCUCUAAUAAAGAGGGCUCAUGACGGUACCGUAAGAAUAAGCACCGGCUAACUACGUGCCAGCAGCCGCGGUAAUACGUAGGGUGCAAGCGUUAAUCGGAAUUACUGGGCGUAAAGCGUGCGCAGGCGGUGAUGUAAGACAGUUGUGAAAUCCCCGGGCUCAACCUGGGAACUGCAUCUGUGACUGCAUUGCUGGAGUGCGGCAGAGGGGGAUGGAAUUCCGCGUGUAGCAGUGAAAUGCGUAGAUAUGCGGAGGAACACCGAUGGCGAAGGCAAUCCCCUGGGCCUGCACUGACGCUCAUGCACGAAAGCGUGGGGAGCAAACAGG